RNAcentral lists this ribosomal RNA (301 nucleotides) under uncultured bacterium. RNAcentral's name for it is "bacterial SSU rRNA". It matches the Rfam family "Bacterial small subunit ribosomal RNA", at positions 335 to 652 of the family's 1533-position model. The record is from RNAcentral.
UAUCCUACGGGGCGCAGCAGUGGGGGAUAUUGCACAAUGGGGGGAACCCUGAUGCAGCGACGCCGCGUGGGUGAAGGAGUGCUUCGGCAUGUAAAGCCCUAUCGGCAGGGAAGAAGCAAGACGGUACCUGACUAAGAAGCCCCGGCUAACUACGUGCCAGCAGCCGCGGUAAUACGCAGGUGGCAAGCGUUAUCCGGAUUUAUUGGGUGUAAAGGGCGUGUAGGCGGGAAAGCAAGUCAGAUGUGAAAACUCAGGGCUCAACCCUGAGCCUGCAUUUGAAACUGGUUUUCUUGAGUGCUGG